AGAGUUUGAUCAUGGCUCAGGAUGAACGCUAGCUACAGGCUUAACACAUGCAAGUCGAACGAGAGAGAAGGAGCUUGCUUCUUCGAUCGAGUGGCGAACGGGUGAGUAACGCGUGAGGAACCUGCCUCAAAGAGGGGGACAACAGUUGGAAACGACUGCUAAUACCGCAUAAGCCCACGGGUCGGCAUCGAUCUGAGGGAAAAGGAGCAAUCCGCUUUGAGAUGGCCUCGCGUCCGAUUAGCUAGUUGGUGAGGUAACGGCCCACCAAGGCGACGAUCGGUAGCCGGACUGAGAGGUUGAACGGCCCACAUUGGGACUGAGACACGGCCCAGACUCCUACGGGAGGCAGCA
This 351-nucleotide ribosomal RNA is filed under the name uncultured bacterium. Its description in RNAcentral is "bacterial SSU rRNA". It matches the Rfam family "Bacterial small subunit ribosomal RNA", at positions 8 to 353 of the family's 1533-position model. The record is from RNAcentral.